CAUCAGCCUGCAUGUAUCUUUUGUAUUCUUCUUUUAGUCCUGAGUAUAAGGACCUUUCUUUUGACCGGUGGGCUUAAAGAAUUUGAGUUUGUGAGGGAGGCCCAUAGUGUAUGUGAGUAGCAGUCUGAUGAUACUUGGCGAAUGUUUUUUUAUGACGAGGGAAGAGCUAUUAUCAUGUGCAAUGACAAUUUUCAAGUGACUAGUUGCUAGUUUGGCUAGUACUUAUGUAGUAUGGGAAAUAUGCACAUGUAUGUCCAUGUGAUAUUUAAGCAUGCUUCCUGAGUACCUGAUACAGAGCUUUGUAGCUGGUAUUCUUUGUCCGAUAAUCUAUGGCCUGCUGGGUAGUUGAAAAAUUGAAUAUUUACAGUACGUGUAUUGGUAAGUUUCUUGUAGUUUCAGAUACAUAUGAAUCCAUCUGUCAUUUAUCAGUUCAUUCUGAAGAUAAAACUCAUAUGUAUAUGUUGCUUCACUUUCCUGUGCUCAUGUACAUAACAGGCUAGCUGGAUGUAAUGAGAAACAACUUAUCUCUUUUUUGCUGUUACAGGGUGGUCACCGAACGGGCACCACCGUACUCUACGGCUUUACAGAACCAUCAUGGUUUGGCGGUGUUGUUUUACCGGGCAUGCCUUUGGCGAGCAACGCGUGGAGACGCCACCGUCCAUCACGAGUUGAGUUUUGGCAGCGAAGCAGCUCUGCUUGUGCCGUCAUUCACUCCCAUGUGGGGCCUCCGGCGGCCGCUUCUUCUUCCACUACGACAUAGGAAGUAUGACAGGCUACGGAAAGAGGAGGAGGAAAAGAAAGCUGAAUGUUCAACUUGUUUAGAGGACUAGCCUUUCUUCCUUGAAAGAAAGGCUGAAAGUAUACAAGCUUUUUAUUGCCCAGGGAUCAUGUCAACAUAUAUUGAUUGACUAGGCAAACAUUAUUAUACUUUCCCUAACAAAAAAAAGUCUACAUGCAUGCGCAACAACAUAUAAAUUUGCUCAUCCUACUUCAGAAUCGUGUAUGCAUUGGAAAUAGAAGAAAGGACCAUGCAUAUGCAUCUAUUUUCAGCACAUGUUCUCCUCCCGGAAGAAAUAAAGCACCACCCCAUUUAGUAAACGGAAAAUAUUUUAGUGUGGGUGGACCAGAGAAAGAAAAAAACAUCUCCAGUGCCUAUCUACGCUUGCCCUGCCAUGUCUGCUGCCAUGUUCUGCUUUGCCUUUGGUAUGGCAAGUGUAUGUGUGCGCUACCAACCUCAACAGAUGAAAAAUGUAUACGUUUGCAUGUAUAUGUACUUACCUAGUGAAAGCAAACAUUUUUCUCUCUCCCGGUCUCAGUGUGCCCUAGAUUUUGAGUGCAUGAAUAAAUAAACGGAUUUAUGAUAUGAAUCAUACUUGAUCUUCUCUAUUUCUGAAAUAAGUGGGCCUAUAGAAACCCCCCUUGUUGAUAUACAGAGGAGGAGAGGAUGAAUUCACUCAAUCACACAAAAAUUAGUUAGACUUCCAAGCACAAAGAAAAAUGAAUGAAUUGCUCUCACGUAUUUACAUUUUGCAUGUUUCUUAUUCUUCCCUUGCGAUAUCUCAGUUGUGCUAGUGAAAUUUGGCCGGGACUUUGCUAACAAAACAUGAAGUGUAGUACUGACAAUAGUUGGCUGUUGGGAGCCCGACCUUGUUUUCUAGUUCAUGUUGUCUUAUGUAUGUUUGCACAAUACAAUAUGCUCAUGUGUUCCUUAUGUUGGUGAUUUUGCAGGAAGUAUGACAUGCUGCGGAAAGAGGAGGAAAAGAAAGCAGAGUGUUCAUUGUUUAGAGGACUAGCCUUUCUUCUUCCUUGAAAGAAAGGCUGGAAGGGAGGUGCCUGACUUGAUGGUGAGGACGACGAAUAAAUCUAUGCCCUGUGUCCACAAGGAAGUUUGAUCUUGAGGAGGGCGAUAAGACGAUGGAUGCAGCUAGUAGCUCCACUUGGUCGAAAUUGGGCGGCCGCUGGAUGUGUGAUGGUUUUAUGGUGGUUUGGAUCAGUUCUGGUGAGCCCCUACUGGUCUUGGCCUGUCUUGUAUGCAUCACAAGUGUUGUCUACUCCUCCGUAGGAGUGGCGCGUUGAUAAAUGCAGACUCAAGAAGAUGUUCCUUGCUGGAGAAGAGAUGGGGUGUGUUAUGAUGGAUGGCAUCGUCGGCCGGUCGAUGUAGGCGUUAGAUUCAUGAGCUUAGUUGGAUCUUGGUGGUGGUGUUGCUUUUGGAAUUGUGAUGAAAAGCCAGCUUGUUUGCUGCAAGUGUUUGACUGUUGUUAGUCAUCCCUCAUGGAUUUGGAAUCUUGAUCUAGUGUACUUGUUUGGUUUGGAAUUUUUAUACAAGCGUGCAUCUCUUUCCACAUGUUAUGCUGCCAAAAUUUCCAGUGAAUAAUUUUCCGACUUGUCUAAAUUUUGUCCUUGUUUGUAAGAAAAUGAAAAUGUUUGGGUUCUCACUGCAAAAUGUUAGGGUGCUGACUGCAAUUUCAAAGAUAAUAUUGUCUGGAGUCAAUUGUUACACAGAGGGUACGAUUA
Long non-coding RNA from Aegilops tauschii subsp. strangulata, 2514 nucleotides. RefSeq lists it as uncharacterized. NCBI's taxonomy places the organism in Eukaryota, Viridiplantae, Streptophyta, Magnoliopsida, Poales, Poaceae. The record is from RefSeq and is a predicted model, not a curated record.